RNAcentral lists this long non-coding RNA (224 nucleotides) under Elaeis guineensis (African oil palm). RNAcentral's name for it is "long non-coding RNA (EGUI_LNC037455)". The record is from RNAcentral. Lineage: Eukaryota; Viridiplantae; Streptophyta; Magnoliopsida; Arecales; Arecaceae.
CAUGAUGCAGAUUCCAAAAUAUAAUUUUGCUAAUAACACUUAUUAUACAACUACAAAAUAUCUUUGGACAAGAAUCAUAGCAUAUGAUAAGUAUCGUAACUAAUUUAAUCAUAAAUUUAAACAUAAUAAUCAAUGCCAAAACAUGCAUUACAUAAAUCAUAAAUAUAAAAAUUUUCAUAAUCAACAAUAACAUAAAAUAUGUACGCAAGAAUAAUAAUUAUAGC